This 515-nucleotide ribosomal RNA is filed under the name uncultured Planctomycetota bacterium. RNAcentral's name for it is "bacterial SSU rRNA". It matches the Rfam family "Bacterial small subunit ribosomal RNA", at positions 117 to 643 of the family's 1533-position model. The record is from RNAcentral. Lineage: Bacteria; Pseudomonadati; Planctomycetota.
GUCGGAACGUGCCCAGAGGACGGGGAUAGCGGCGGGAAACUGCCGGUAAUACCCGAUGAUCUCGAGAGAGCAAAGGUGUGAUUCCGCCUUUGGAGCGGCCGACGUGGUAUUAGCUAGUUGGUGAGGUAAUGGCCCACCAAGGCUGUGAUGCCUAGGGGAUGUGAGAGCAUGAUCCCCACCAUUGGGACUGAGACACUGCCCAGACACCUACGGGUGGCUGCAGUCGAGAAUCUUCGUCAAUGGGCGAAAGCCUGAACGAGCGACGCCGCGUGCGGGAUGAAGGCCCUUGGGUCGUAAACCGCUGUCGAGGGGGAUGAAGGUCAAAGGGUACUCCUUUUGAUUUGACAGAGCCCAGAAGGAAGCACGGGCUAAGUUCGUGCCAGCAGCCGCGGUAAUACGAACUGUGCGAACGUUAUUCGGAAUCACUGGGCUUACAGGGUGCGUAGGCGGCCUUUCAAGUCAGGUGUGAAAGCCCUCGGCUCAACCGAGGAACUGCGCUUGAAACUGAAGGGCUC